This 8018-nucleotide long non-coding RNA is filed under the name Triticum aestivum (bread wheat). Its description in RNAcentral is "long non-coding RNA (TAES_LNC007492)". Lineage: Eukaryota; Viridiplantae; Streptophyta; Magnoliopsida; Poales; Poaceae. The record is from RNAcentral.
AAAAAAACAUUUCAAAGAAUAACCAAUUAAUCAGUUGGUAUCCUUAUUGUUACAGAUCAUUACAGCAAUCCUUACUGUUACAGAUCAUUACAGCAAUACCUUUGGUCACCAUUUAGAAACAAAGACCAAAACAGAUUCUCCAAUGACAGAAAAACUUCUUAAAUGUUAACGGUACAAUCUACAAAAAGGUUUAAUCGCUAUAAGAGAUGGUGCACAAACAAUGAGUGGUAGCAUAAAAACCAAGCAUAACAUGUGCAUUCCAACUUUUCAAGUAGAAUUUUUGUGGUGUUAGUACCUGGUUCUUGAUAGGCAUGGCCAUCUUGCGGAAAUACUUGCACAUUAUAGGCUUGUGCUGCGGCUUGGCAGGGGUGUCCUGCUUGGUCUUGCUCGUGGAUAGGACUGCUUGGUCUUGGUCUAGUACAAAUGCCCGUGCGUUGCACCGGGCGAGAAAACAGGCACAACCUACUUAAGAUCUAGCUCCAGAGACAACAUCCUUUUUCCCACUAAUUUGAUGCUAAUAUGCUGGCAGUUUAUUGUGCCUCUGUUGUGAUCCUUCUUCCAACCAACAUAAAUGAGCCUUGUACAACACUAUUUUGAUGGAUAAAGGGGAUGCAGCAACCAGAUGAAGAAAUCAUAUACUCCCUCCAUCUGAAAAUAAGUGACGCUGUUUUAGUUCAAUUUUGAAUUAAAACGGCGUCACUUAUUUCCGGAAGGAGGGAGUAAUAGUUAAUGUUCUGUACAUUAUUGCACUUUGAAUCCAAUCGAACGAUAGGUGCAUUAUGGUAUUUAAAGCUAUUUUCAUCCUUAUACUUAUAAACCAGAGUCUGAAAUCUUAUGUACUGAAAGGAGAAUCAAAAGAGGAGAACAACAUAUUUCCAGAGCUCUUAGAUCCUUGAUGACAAAUUCUUAUUGUUUCUGAUAAACUUGUGUUCUCCAAUUUUAGUCCAACACUGUGUACCAUCUCAUCAUACAGUUUUAAUAAACAAUACAAAUUUUUUUUGCUUUUAAAUAUGCGUGGAGAUGAAAACUGCUUGUUGCUAUUUAUAAAGAAUGGAAGUUGGUUAUGCAUGUACUGAAAAAGUGGUAGCAUGUUAUACCUCCACCGCAAAAAAAAAUUAUUUCAAUAUGUCCGCAGAAUGUAAUCCGACAUUGUAUCCCCUGAAUCUGAAGGAUUGUCACUGUAUUAGUAAUCUGCAAGAGCACAGCUCGCCAGAUUCAUCAAUUGGAGGGUUAUCCAACAAUAAAAUCCUGUUAUCACAAAAGAACACAAGGUACAGAAUAGAGUGGAGCACCCAUUUAUUAAAAGAAAACCAUGCCAAACUUUAAUAAAGUGUACAAAUGUGGCCAUGUCUUUGAGAGUGACUUCAAUGAAAAUCAGGGGCUCGACUGGUCUUAACGAAGACAAUAACAUCACUCAGACCAAGUUACUAACAGACCUAAAACUAUCAUCUAGAAAACUGUUUUUUUAAGAACCUUCUACAGUGGGGGAACCCCACCACUGACCUUUGUAUUAGAUCAGAGCGUCAAAGCUACAGUACAAUAUUUACAUAGAGAAGUUAGCAGGGGAGGGGGAGGAGAGGUCAGAAUACAAACCAAAAGAGGGUCUAGCAGCUCUCUCUUUCCAUAUACUCCAUACUGCCACCACAAACACUUCCAUGAACAUAUGUCCAGUCCAGUUUCUUUUUGCUGCGUGCAACAAUUCCAAUCUGUCCCAGUUGAUAUCAAUGUUGCGGGGCGUCCCCCUCUUGGUGAUCUCCGCGAAAUGGUUUUGGAUGAUGGAUUUUUUAUGCUCAUGCUCUGUGACCCAUCCACUGUUAUGCCUAAGGCGGUGAAUGAAAUUCUUGCGCCUUCUAUGAUUGACUCGGAGGUGAAAGAAACGAGUGUUGGCAUCUCCAUCUUUGAGAUUGGUAAUUCUCGAGCAUUGCCUUUUCCGCGCACGCUCGAGUACAGACAAGCUAACCACCUUGCGCUUGAGCCUCCUACGAAUAUCCAGCUCCUCUGCACUCAAAGGACGGCAUUCUUGGGCCACAUCCAGACGGAGAAUGACCUCUAGGGCCAUAUGUAUUUGUACCUUCGAAUGCGCAAAUAUUGUCUUGCUCCAUGUCCUAAGCACCUGACUUGUCUUCUUCAUCUUGUGGAAGAGGAUGUGGUGAGGAUCUACAUGGUUCACCUCUUGGUUCCAUGCACUGUUGACGACCUCCUUGAAUCUGGGCAUCUUGAUCCAAAAGUUUUCAAAGCGGAAUGAUUUGGUCCGCGGUGGCCCUUUGUCAUUUGCGAGGAGGAGAGGGCAAUGGUCGGAGAGCGACGAGGAGAGAGCAUGUAGGAGGUGUGUGCCAAAGUGCAGGUCCCAUUCUUCAUUGCAGAAAAAGGAAUCUAGCUUGCUUAAGGUUGGGUCGUUUCGCUCAUUACUCCACGUAAACUUCCUGUUUUGAAGAUGUAUCUCUUUUAGCUCGCACGCAUUGAGGGCGUUACGGAAGCGAACGAUGCGACUUUGGUCAACAUUCGCACGGUUCUUGUCUCUCGCGCGGUAAAUUUGAUUAAAAUCCCCAUUAACCAACCACUUUUCGCCAGGGUGGGGCUUCUCGCUGACCAAUUCUUGGAAGAAGCCGUCUUUAAGGUUGCUUCUCGUCGGGCCGUACACGGUUGUGAGCUUGAAGGAUUCACCCGACGAGGAUAGGGAGACUUUGGCUGAGAGGAAGAAAGCACCAAUGUUUACAUCUUGGAUUUUGACAAAAUGUUCGUCCCAGAGAAGAAGGAUUCCGCCUCGAGUGCCAACAGAUGGGCGUUGAGCAAAACUCUUUAACCGAUGUCCCCCUAGAAAAGAAGCAAUGAACGGGUCGACAUUCUGGAGCUUGGUCUCCUGGAGACACACAAUGUGACACGGAGUGGCGGUGAUGGUCUCAUGGAUGGUGGCGCGGCGAUCAGGACAGUUCAAACCUCGGACAUUCCAGCACAAAAUACUCAAGUUUUGGUCUAACAUAAUUGAUAGCAGAUUACACCAUGGCCAAGCUUGGCAGAACUAGCAUCAGGAACACGUGGGAGCGUCACUAGAGCAGAAUUACUUGACAGCAAAUAGCAGAUUACAACAUGGUCAAGCUUGGCAGAACUAGCAUCAGGAAUACAUGGAAGCGUCACUAGAGCAGAAUUACUUGACAGCAGCAAACAAACAUGUACGUAAGCCUCGCCAGGGCAGGUAGCAGCGAUCACCAGGACCAGCAGCAAACAGGCGAACACUCUAAGGGUUGUAGCUAUCCCAACCCCCGCUUGCGAUCUCUCUGACCUUGGGGCUGCCUUCACGGAAGAGGAGGUCAAGAAGGCGAUCUUUGAUAUGCCGAGUGACAAAGCGCCGGGUCCGGACGGCUUCACCGGGGCCUUCUUCAAGGACUGUUGGGAAAUCAUCAAGGGCGACAUUAUGAACGCAGUCAACCAUUUCUCGAGCUUGCAUACAUCCAACCUUCAUUGGCUCAACUCCGCAAACAUUGCCCUCAUUCCAAAGAAGGAUGAGGCGGAAUGCAUCUCAGAUUUCCGUCCCAUUAGCCUCAUCCACGCCAUUGCCAAGAUUAUUGCUAAGGUCAUGGCCUCCAGACUUGCACCACACAUGCAGAACCUUGUCUCUAAUACUCAAAGCGCCUUCAUCAAGAAGAGGAGCAUCCAUGAUAAUUUCACGUACGUGAGAAGCUUGGCAAGGAAAUUCCACCGCAACAAGACGCCGACGCUAUUAUUCAAACUUGACAUCAAGAAAGCUUUUGACUCCGUGCGGUGGGAUUUCCUCUUGGAUCUUCUAAGGCACUUGGGCUUCCCGAGCAGAUUUCGUGACUGGGUUUCGGCACUCCUUUCCACAUCCUCCUCAAGGGUCUUGAUCAACGGAAUUUUGGGUGACCCUCUGAAGCAUGGCCGCGGUCUUAGGCAAGGUGACCCGCUCUCCCCGUUACUGUUCGUGCUGGCAAUUGACCCCUGCACCAUCUCCUAAACAAGGCUACAUCUCAAGGGCAUCUCCAUCCUCUCUGUGACCAUUCGUGCCUCUCUUUAUGCUGAUGAUGCAGCCAUCUUUGUCAAGCCCAUCAAGGAGGACAUCCAGUUUUUUGCUUCUAUCCUGGCUUCCUUUGGAGAGGUUACCGGUUUAGUCACUAACUGUGCUAAAAGCCUUGUCGCCCCGAUUCGUUGUGAAAGUGUCGAUCUUCAAGACAUUCUUCAUGCUUUUCCGGCUGUCCGCACGUCCUUUCCAAUGAGAUAUAUUGGACUACCGUUAUCGGUCAAGCGCCUCAAGAGGAUCCACUUUCAGCACCUUGAGGAUAAGGUGGCUGGCAAACUCCCUCCGUGGCAAGGAAAACAUGUCGCUACCGCCGGUCGGGCCGUCCUUGUCAAAGCUGUUCUCACUGCCAUUGCCAUUUACCACCUCACGCCGCUCAACAUCCCAGCUAAGGUCCUUAGAAAGAUUGAUUCUAUCCGUCGCGCCUAUCUUUGGGCGGGCACCGACAAGGUUUCUGGUGGGAAAUGCAAAGUCAAUUGGGACCUUGUUUGCAAGCCUAAGAAGCACGGUGGCUUAGGUGUGCUCAACUUGGACAAGUUUGCCAAGGCUCUUAGGCUUCGAUGGCUCUGGUUCGAGUGGCAAGAGCCCACAAGACCGUGGAUUGGUAUGGGUACGCCAUGCACUGAUGAAGACAGGGACUUUUUUGCAGCUGCCACUUCCGUCACAGUUGGCAAUGGGCAUGUGGCUAAGUUCUGGAACUCCUCUUGGCUUGAUGGCAUGCGCCCACGGGACCUAGCGCCUGGCAUUUUCGACCUCUCCCGAAGGAAAAACUGCUCGGUCAAACAGGCUUUAACAAACAACACUUGGAUCUCUCAUAUUGACUUCUCCGACGGUCUCACAGUAGACCAUGUCCACCAGUUCGUCGCACUUUGGGAGAAGAUUGACUCGGUCACUCUGGAUGAGGACGUGGAGGAUUCCAUUAUUUGGAAGUUCACCAAGGACGGAUCGUACUCAGCUUCCUCGGCUUACAAGGCGCAGUUUGAGGGCCUAACUACGUCAGCCAUGGUCCUAUCGGUGUGGAAGGUGUGGGCUCCUCCGCGGUGCAAAUUUUUCGCAUGGCUUGUACUUCAAGAUAGAAUCUGGACAUCGGACCGCCUUGCUCGACGUGGGUGGCCCAACUGCGGGCUAUGCCCGCUUUGCAAGCAAAGCCCAGAGACGGCAGCCCACUUACUGUUCCAAUGUCGCUACACCCUUCGUGUGUGGAACGAUAUUCUUCGCUGGCUUGGCAUGGAUCACACUCAGGCUACUACUUGGUCAGCGAGGAGCUCGGUGUGGGAAUGGUGGAAUGGAAACGUAUAUCUUCGUUCUGAAUCCCCCAAGACGCUCGCCUCACUAAUGAUGCUAAUCUCCUGGGAAAUUUGGACGGAGCGCAAUGCUAGAGUUUUCCGCAACACCGCCGCACCUACGACGGUCGUCAUUAGUAAGAUAAAAGAGGAGUUGUCGCUUUGGGCGUUGGCGGGCGCCAAGCAUUUGAGUGUUGUAAUGCCGCGAGAGUAGAUUUUAUUUCUUGCCACUUCGUGGCCUGUCUAAACCUUCUUCUUAAUCAAUGAAAUGGCAAAUCUUUUGCCUUGUUUCAAAAAAAAACAAUUCCAAUCUGUUAUUCAGAUCAGGCCAUCUAACACAAAGUUUCUCCCAACAUGACUUACUGAACGGGCAUUUGAAAAGAAGUCCGAGGCAAGACCAAGCAGCAGCACGAGACUGGUAUCCUGCAAUAUUAAGGCAACAUUUGACCAUUUGAAGGAAAAAAUGGAUGCUGAUUGCAAAUGGAUAUAUGGGUAAAAUACAACAACAACAACAACAACAAUAGCAGUAGUGAAGCUUUAUCUUUUGAUCAACUAUGGACAAGCACAAAUAGACCUUACUGAUAAUUUGAAACAUAGUAAUGAACAAACGUAGGCAGUUUCAGCACAGGAUAUGAUCUAGCCCAGGCUGAUUCGCCAACACGAAACCACUAACGAAUUUCAAAUUUCAUUCUAUCAUGCUAACGCUUUGACCGGAGAUGACAUUAAUAUAGAGGAAAUCAUGAACCGAGGAACCUAAAAGUAGCACAGGUUUGAUGGGGGAUACGGUGAAUAAUCUAAGCAAACAGCGAUGCAAACUCCAAGAAAGGGAUCCACUGCUUACCGGGGAUGAAGUUGCCGCAGCGCAGCCUUGCUCUACUCCGGUGCUUAGGGGUGGUGGUGGCUGUGGAAGGUUGGGAUAGCUCAGAGCUGGGCGAUUGGUAAAUGAAGAGUUGACUACCUGAAGCUGUAUACACCUAAACUACAUGUGCACAAGAGCUCGUAUGCUCAUGCUAAUUAAUCGCCUAAAUUCACUUGUUGGACCAGAUGGAUACGCUGUUGAUUCAUCCGCUCUGAGAUGGAUGGAUCGGAUCCCUGGUUUCACUUAAGCGCAUCUGGCAUCGAUGAGUGGGUCGCUCAACUCCACUGUCUAAAGAAUCUGCUCCAGCACGCCUCAGUUCUCCGCCGCUCCAUCUCACGAUAAUGGAUGGCCUCGGCCUCGACAUCUACAACUGCAACACGUGGUUGAGAUCGACCGGCUAUGGGAUUUGACGACGGGGGCGACGCCGGCCACCUUCUGCAGCCGGCCGACAACAGAGAAACAGCCCACGUGUGCGUACGCCUAUGCGGCAAAGGGCGGUGGCGCGGCCGCUCGCCUGGAUCCGUAUGCCCCAUCGUUCCGCACGUCCAGCCCGUCCACCGCCGCCCUGUGCAGACUUCACUUGAUUUGACCGAGCGGGAGAACCACCUAGCGCCCACACACUCGGUGACCCACCUCGAUCCGGAGAUAGGGGUAGGCGCGGCGGCAGGGUAGGUGGGGUGACGCACGGCGGCGGGGUAGGUGGUGGCGACGAAAGGCGGCGGCCGGCGGGGCGGGGCGUGGCAGGAGGUGCGAUGACGGUGGAAUGCCGUGGGUGAAGGUCGAGAAACUGGAGAUCAGAUCGGGAGGCACGUCCGUUUAAUUUUGUUCUUUCUCUCACACGUACCGGUUCGUGAUGACUUUUUAUUUAUGAUAUGAGGAGUGCGGGUUGAAUAGUUAAAAACCACACGGACCUUUGUGUAAAAAGGAUGCGACGAUGAAGCCGACAAACUCAACCCUUGCUUUAUUAUUAGGGAAAGGUAUUUUUCAUAUAUAAUUCAAUAGAAGCAGUUUUGUAAGUCUUAACUUGGGCCUAAUUUGCGGAAUCAUUAUAAAUCCAUAGUCAAUUGUGAAAAUGGUAAAUUGUUGUACGGCUAAGAUUGUACCAUAGGGUUUUUGUAGAGAGCAUUCAAUUAUGCUGUACCUGCUGUUUACACAAUUAUGUACUCACAAUCAAAAUUAUGCUAGGGUUCACUUUGGUCACAAUCCGAACACAUCCUUCUUUCCAACUUUUCAGUUAAUAUCUCCAUUUCCCACUAAUCAUGAACUGCAGCUAAUUUAUCAAUCAUUGGUCAGUCAAACUAAUCACAAGUCUUAACUUGCCUAAUUGAUCAUCUAAUAAUACAUGGGUAGCUGGGUUACUAAAUUGUAUUGUCUCAAUCAUAGUAAAAUCAUAUACUGUUGAGAUGAAACUGUAUGGAUGCUGAGAUCGUAACACAGGUUUUUAUAUUCAGUUUUGCUAAAGCACAUCUAGAUUUUACGCGGAGAUUCGUGCAAACAUUUUCUUUUGUCCUUUUUCUUUUCCUAGUUUGAUCGAUCCACUUAGAUGUGCAAUAAUUAGGACACAUCUAGAUGUGCCCGAAAGGCCCUUUUAUAUUUUAGUGUAUAUUAGAGAAUCACAUAUAUUAGCUAAAAGCAAUCUAGUGCCACACCUUUUGUUUUCACAUUUUUUAUCCAUUAUUGAUAUAUUAUUUAUUUGUAAUUGGUCACUAUGACUCAUAAUGAGGUUGAUUGAUCAUCUAAUAAUACUAGAUAUUCACAAGAAUGAAUGAGUGGUUAAUAUAAGCAUUUACCUGAAAAACAAGGAGGGAACUAAUUACAAUCUUAUACGUUUUCUGUUGCCCUGUAU